RNAcentral lists this ribosomal RNA (118 nucleotides) under Pteropus alecto (black flying fox). Lineage: Eukaryota; Metazoa; Chordata; Mammalia; Chiroptera; Pteropodidae. The record is from RNAcentral.
GUCUACAGCCAUGCUACCCUGAACAAGCUUGAUCUGUCUGAUCUCGGAAGCUAAGCAGGGUCGGGCCUGGUUAGUACUUGGUUGGGAGACCACCUAGGAAGACCAGAUGCUGUAGGCA